AAUUAACGCUGGCGGCAUGCGUAACACAUGCAAGUCGUACGAGAAAGCCCGGUUCGCCGGGCGAGUAAAGUGGCGCACGGGUGAGUAACGCGUGGGUAAUCUACCCCGGUCUGGGGGAUAACGCACCGAAAGGUACGCUAAUACCGCAUGAGACGACGGGUCCCUGGACCCAUCGGUGAAGGGGGCCUCUGAAUGCACGCUACCGAAGUGGGAUGAGGCCGCCUCCUAUUAACUUGUUGGUGGGGCAAUGGCCGACCACGGAGGACAUGGGGACUCUGCUGUGAUAGGAGGGCCCGCAACAGGGGUACUGAUGACUGGAUUCAGACACACUACCGGGACGGCGGCCACGGUAGGGUAUCGCGUCCGUCGUCGGGGCGUCAUUGUACACAGGCUGUGGCUGGCCCGCGGUGGAGUGACAGACAGGCCGGACACAUGGGGGGCCCGCUCGAGGCGCCCACGCGAUAUUCACCCCCUGCACGGGUAGACGACCCUAGCCAGGGUAAGAGGAGCACGAACACGCUGUGUGCAAUGGCCCGGGUGCGCACGGUUCGAGUUUCGCCCCAUCAGAUAAAGCUGCCGCGUCUCCCAUACCGAUUUUGGGCCGCGCGCCACUCGCUCACAUUCUGCGGAUCGUGCGGCUGAUGACCUCUGUCCGUCAUCGAGUCCCGGAGGAGCAGUACCGGAGUAGCGACGUGAAGCGUAGCCACUCGAUGUACCACGUGAAUAUCGGCGCUCCACCCGGUUGUAUCUGUCGGACCGCGCGUAGAGAGAUAGGCGAUAUGGCGGGGCCUACACCUGCGAGGCACACACGACACGAAAAUGAGUCGGGCGUGGCGGGAGUACUCCACUCAACUCCGCGAGGAUGGGUGCUCUCUUCACCCCUACUACGCUUAUUACGGGCAGGCGCCGCGGGCGUUGUAUCCUGCCCCAAUUUUUCGCACUUAUCAAUGUAUACGCGCGUUGAUACGCCGCUGCAGUUGGCACAUGAUCACAAACGGGUCCUGGAGGGUGCGUGUCUGUGUCGCCCGGCACGCCUUUUUAUGGAGCGGUAUAUGAAGGCCUAGACGCGCUGCUUCAUUAUAAUCGUUGCCGGCUAGUGCAUUAUUGUCGCCGCAGUAGAGCGCGG
Molecule: ribosomal RNA, 1126 nt
Filed under: uncultured bacterium
Lineage: Bacteria
Description: partial 16S ribosomal RNA
Rfam family: Bacterial small subunit ribosomal RNA (bases 27-344)
Source: RNAcentral